UGGGUGGUGUUUCCACUAUUUUCUGCAUUUAUGGGAUCUUCUUCCCCACCAUCUAUUGGACAAACACACUUUUUCUGCAUUCAUGGACAUAUAGAUAAUAUACUUUUAUACUAUUGAUUUGACUUUGAAUGAUUUUUUUCAGUGAAUCUCAAGUUCUAUAUGAAAAAUAUCAUUGUGAAUAUUUGGUAAAUGAGUUUCACUAAAGAAAGUAAAACUAGAGUGGUACUAACACUCAAUCUAAAACCUUACCUUUCUACUUUGUGCAUGCUCUUUUUGGGCUUCCUUCACUC
Molecule: long non-coding RNA, 290 nt
Organism: Arabidopsis thaliana (thale cress)
Lineage: Eukaryota; Viridiplantae; Streptophyta; Magnoliopsida; Brassicales; Brassicaceae
Product: other RNA
Exons: 1
Source: RefSeq